CCUCACAUGGCUUCACCUGGUGCCAGAGGACCACUGCCCAGUGAGGGCACAGGUCUGGAGCCAGGGCAGCAGGGCGAUUCCCCACACCACAUUUUGGGACUGAAUCAUAAACUCACACAAUGGUUUGGGUUGUAAGGGGCCUUAAAGAUCAUCCAGUGCCACAUCCUGCCAUGGGCAGGGACAUCUUCCACUUGACCAGGCUGCUUCAAGCCCUGUCCAGCCUGGCCUUGAGAGGGUGCUGAUGGAGAAUUCACUGGCAGAAAAUAUAAGUAUUUCAGCACUGAUAGUUUUGGGUCAGGAAUUCUUCCUUUGUACCUCAUGGCUUCAGUAGAGGCUGACUAAAAUUGACACAUUGAGUUCAGUUGCCCAAACACACAGACAGUGACAUGGCUGUUGCUGUCUGAGGUGCUACAAGCUGUCCAUGAGAUCCUUGGGGCUGGAAAACAGGAUAUAGGACCGGUGGGAAUACUGCACCUUCUAAAGAUACAGACAAAGGCUGAGGAGCUCCUGUUGCAUCCAACACGGAGAAAGACACCUCCAACUAGGUAACCAUGAGAUGCCCCAUGGCUGGUGAGCUGUCCCCCUCCUCCUGUUCCGUUCAUUGCCUUCCUGCAGCUCAGGCUCAGACACCAGCCCCAUGGCAGGGGAUGGAACAGGAUGGUCUUUAGGGUCCUGUCCAACAUCACAGGGUUCCGUGAGCUGACACACCUCAUGCCAUCUGUGGAUGCUGAACCUGCCAUAGUCACAGCCUCUCGAGCAGGAUUCCAGCAGAACUCACCAGGAGUUUGUUGGAGAAGCAAGGGAACAAAGUCACUCUGCUGUCUCAGGCAGCUGAGACGAGGAUGAGUCAGCCCUCCUGGUUCCCAGGUGCCUGAAUCUGUGACAUGAACAAAUGCUGCAAAACACACCAGGAUGCAGGGCCUGCUCCUGAGAGCACUUACUGGUUUUAUUCCAGUACAUUGAUGGACCUGCUGUUGGGUCUGGCUGUGAAUCCCAUGGCAGCAGCCGGGCAGUGGUGGGUUAUGAACAGAAGGAUCUACGAUCUUCCAGUGUGAAACCAACUCAACUUACACCUUCCAAGGGUGACAUGAACAAAAGAGAGAUCUCCCUUUCCUUCCAGCUCCUGUGGGGCUCCAGUUUCACUUGAGUUCACUCUUCCCGUACACUCAAAUGUACAUAAAAUCCAAUUUGGCCUCUGAAUUUUGCUUUAUUCCACUGUAACAGGAGAACAAAUUUUUGGGUUGUCAGAACAGCAAGUUCAGGUUGGACCAGAUGGGCAUAACUUGCCUCCAUGUUUUGGUUUGGAACAGUGUCAGGCUGGACAUUUAGUUAAGGAUGGACCAGCACUUGGAUCUUUGGCAUUCAAUAUCCCAGGCUGGGAGUGUCAGCCAGCUUUGUGACAAAACCCAGUCAUGACUACCUUUCCCCCUCAGUUCUAAAACUGGUAUUUUCCAUUAACUUCCCCCAAAUUAACAGCAAAUUAACAACAACUAGAACAACUAAUUAUUUUUAUGCUCAUGGUGGCACUGAUCUAAACUUGGGUGAAAGACCAGAGAGUUUAAGUGAGCUCUUGUUUAUUGAGAUCUGAGCAAGAGCCCUUUGUGUCUUGGAGUGGGUGGAAGAAAUAAUGCAAGGGCAAUAAAUAUUUGGUCUUUGCCUGCAAAGGAAUUUCCCUGUAAGUUUCACCAGUCUCCUGAAAUACCCUGACACGUUAUUUUCUCUUUUCUCCUGUUGAUUCUUGAAGCUGUCACUGUGACAGACCGAGGAAAGUGCUCUGCAAACCCCCCCCCUCAACAGGGAAAGCUUUCAACUGCUUUAGCUUUUUGUUUAAUUUGUAUUUUCAUACCUUCACUGUAUUUUCUGUACCAACUCUUCAGUUCAGGAGGGGGAUCGUUUGUUUCCAGCCUGACUAACUCACAGACUAUCUAAUUUUCUCAUUACUGUGUGUUUCAUAAUUCCUCCCUCAUAUAACUCUGGAAGCAAGUUUUUGAUCUGAGAAUUAGGUGCUGAAAGCUAAUAAUGGGCUGGUUAAAAAUUAAUUGUUUUGCUUUGUAAGGAAAAUAAAUAAAUGAAUAAAGAUUAACAGCUGUGCUACUAAAACACAAAAUACCAGUGGCUGUCUCAAAGCUGGUUGGUGAGAAAGAUGUUUCUGUGAGCCACUGGAGUGGUCUGUGGAGAUAAUUCCUGAGAUGGAUCUGCUCCAUAGGUCUGGCUUCUCUCAGUGAACAGAGUAUAUUUCCUGUACAUUAAUUAACCAUAUGAAAUGGGUUGAAUAUAUUUAUAAACCUAUUCCAGAUGCCUGAAUUUCAGUUCAGGCUUCACUCACAGACUGAUUAUUUUUUUUAAUCUUUGGGCACAGAAGACCUGCUUGAUGCCUCACAGUCUGGUUGCCAGAUACGACAAAGAGUUUUGGAGAUGAUUCAGAUUUUGGAUGCUUCUCUUCAUUCCAGGAGAAAUCUCCACCAGAAUGACAGAGGUGGAGAACUGAACAGCUGUGGCUGGAAGGGAUCCCCAAGCCACUCUGGGCUGAAGCAUUUCAAGGUGCUGGCAUUUCACCCAAAAUUAGAGAAAGUGGGAGCAAUGUGACUGUUAACUCCAGGCAGCCUUUUCCUGCUCAGAUAUCACUGACCAGCUUCACCACAAGAAGCUCAAACUGACCUGAAAAUGCAUUUCCACUGCUCAGAUAAUUGAUCUUCACUGCUGUCUGCCAAAUCAGCCGCUUGAGGAAGGACAAUCAGGGUUGCCAUGGCAAUGGAAGGAUGACUUCUUAAUUUGUGGGAUUCUUUAAUUAUUCUGAGAAUUGUAAUCCCAUGAAAACUGCCUCCUUUGGAGAAAUUCACUUAAGAGCUGCACAGGCACUGAAGGAGAAGUUAAAAAGAAAGGAAAACUAAUGAAGAUGGUUUUGGGGCAAAAGAAUGAAAAAAAAAAAUUGGUGCAUCUUUCUUGCUUGUUUCAUGUGCCAACAAGAACAAAUGUCUGGUGUUAUGCAGAAACAAGGGCCUGGAAUGGGUCCUAAACUUGAAUUAUUCAUGAGAAAUUCAAGGUGUUUUUACAGACUUUCUGUGAAACAAGAGUAUCAGGCAGAACUAACACAUAUAACUGAAAAUAAAACCGUGUAAAACUUAAUGGAUAACAAGUAGGAUUUCAAGGGCUAUUUAAAUGGAGAGGCAACAGAGAAAAUAUAAUUUUUAGUGCAUUUUUUUAUCCCCAGAUCUUACAACUCAAGACACAGAACAGAAGCAGCACUACUUUCAUUUUGUAUAGGAUGAAGAGACACUGUGGCUUGCUCAGGGUGGGCAGUGAAGCACAGGCACAGGAGGAUAAAGCAAAAGUCCCUGGGCUGUUCCAGCUGGCUUUGGAGCUGAGCAGGUGCCACCUGA
Long non-coding RNA from Passer domesticus (house sparrow), 3380 nucleotides. RefSeq lists it as uncharacterized. Lineage: Eukaryota; Metazoa; Chordata; Aves; Passeriformes; Passeridae. The record is from RefSeq and is a predicted model, not a curated record. The transcript has 5 exons.